ACGAGGCCUUGCUGAAUUGUAACUGUCGGCAUGGAGACCUGUCAGACACGUGGACCACAGCCUGACCUACAGGGCCACCUGCUGGCCAAAGCAUGGAAACACCACUACCAACAACUCUGUGGUGUGUGUGUGUGUGUGUGUAUGUGUGUGUUCAUAAGUGUGUGAGUGUGCGGGCGUGUGUGUGGUAAACACAUGACAUCUCCUGGUUAUUGUGAUGGUGGAAUCUGUAAGGCAGAGCAGGGAGGAACAGUCAGAGUUCUCCUGGGGGGAGGAGCAGGGAGGAGGCGCAGAAGGGACAGUCAGAGUUCUCCUGGAGAGAGGAGCAGGGAGGAGGCGCAGGAGGAACAGUCACUGCAGAGCUGAAACCGAAUCCUGAUUUGCUGUCAGAGAGAGUAAAAGGGGGAGGGGGCCCGUGGGGGGGGGGGGGCUCAGUGCAGGCAGGAUGUCACACUCACUUCCGGAACUCUACUUCAAAAGUCUGAAAAAAGCGAACUGGUAAGAAGAAAAAAAGAUAAUAUCCUCCGUAUUUGUUUUUGAAAACUAAAAAC
Molecule: long non-coding RNA, 548 nt
Organism: Anguilla rostrata (American eel)
Lineage: Eukaryota; Metazoa; Chordata; Actinopteri; Anguilliformes; Anguillidae
Exons: 2
Source: RefSeq, a predicted model, not a curated record